RNAcentral lists this ribosomal RNA (1020 nucleotides) under Triplophysa microps. RNAcentral describes it as "partial large subunit ribosomal RNA". It matches the Rfam family "Bacterial large subunit ribosomal RNA", at positions 214 to 2032 of the family's 2925-position model. Lineage: Eukaryota; Metazoa; Chordata; Actinopteri; Cypriniformes; Nemacheilidae. The record is from RNAcentral.
AGGAAACUAAACCAUUUUUCCACCUUAGUACGGGAGACGGAAAGGGUAAUUUUAAGCAAUAGAGAAAGUACCGCAAGGGAAAGCUGAAAGAGUAAUGAAAUAAUUCAUAUAAGCACAAAAAAGCAGAGCUUAAUCCUCGUACCUUUUGCAUCAUGAUUUAGCCAGCACUACACAAGCAAAGUGACCUUUAGUUUGAAACCCCGAAACCAAGUGAGCUACCCCGGGACAGCCUGUUUGGGCCAACCCGUCUCUGUGGCAAAAGAGUGGGAAGAGCCCCGGGUAGAGGUGAUAAACCUACCGAACUUGGUGAUAGCUGGUUGCCUAAGAAGUGAAUAGAAGUUCAGCCUCGUACCCCUUUAGCCAACCAAGAAAUAUCUGAAUAAGCAUGUAAGAGAAAUACGAGAGUUAGUUGAAGGGGGUACAGCCCCUUUAAUAAAGGACACAACCUUAAAUAGGAGGAUAAGAGUCACAUUUUAUAAAACUAGUCGUUCCAGUGGGCCUAAAAGCAGCCAUCUGAAUAGAAAGCGUUAAAGCUCAAACGACAUGCAGUUUAUUAUACUGUUAAAUAGCUCAACUCCCCUAGAAGUAUUAGGCCGUUCCAUGCCCCCAUGGAAGAGACUAUGCUAGAAUGAGUAAUAGGAGGGUAUGACCCUCUCCUAGCACAAGUGUAAGCCAGAUCGGACAAACCACUGGAAAUUAACGAACCCAUAAAAAGAGGGUAAUGUGUUUACUAAAAAAAUCAAGAAAACAACACAGCGCUUAUAUCGUUAAACCCACACUGGAGUGCUAUCAAGGAAAGACUAAAAGAAAGGGAAGGAACUCGGCAAACACAAGCCUCGCCUGUUUACCAAAAACAUCGCCUCCUGCGAACCCCAAUGUAUAGGAGGUCCAGCCUGCCCGGUGACUACGAGUUUAACGGCCGCGGUAUUUUGACCGUGCAAAGGUAGCGCAAUCACUUGUCUUUUAAAUGAAGACCUGUAUGAAUGGCUAAACGAGGGCUUAACUGUCUCCCUUUUCAGG